GGAAGGAUCAUUAUUGAAUUUGGUUCCGUAUGGACCAAUGUGAGUCAUCAUGGAUGCUUUUGGUGUUGUCGGCUGUUUGGCUGAUUUCUCUAGGCGUGCCUAGAGCAACACCAGAAGGUUAGUCAAACUUUAUUGAGGUUGUGUAGAAAUUUGUAUCUAAAGUUAAAACUUUCAACAAUGGAUCUCUUGGCUCCUGCAUCGAUGAAGAACGCAGCAAAUCGCGAUAAUUAAUGUGACUUGCAAAUUUUGUGAAUCAUCGAGUAUUUGAAUGCACAUUGCACUUUCUGGUGUUUCUGGAAAGUAUGCUUGUUUGAGCAUCAAUCUUAUAUCCUUGAAAAGCUCGGUUGUGUCUGUCAACCCUUUUGGUGUUGAAGAUAUGAAGUUCAUCAUGGUUUUGGACACAGACAGUUUCCUGUUGUCGGUCAAAAGUAAUGGAAUAGUUGCUUGACUGGGGGAGAGGAAAUUGUAUGUGCCUGACUUGUGUGGGAAAAAGAUUAAGAAUGUAGAUUUGAUCUCAAAUCAAGCAAGAUUACCCGCUGAACUUAAGCAUAUCAAUAAGCGGAGGAAAAGAAACUAAUAAGGAUUCCUUUAGUAACGGCGAGUGAACUGGGAAUAGCUCAACUUUGGAAUCAAACCAGGCAACUGGUUUGAAUUGUAACCUACAGACGUGUUUACAGUGAUGCUGCAUGGUCUAAAUCCUUUGGAAUAGGGUAUCAAAGAGGGUGAAAAUCCCGUCUUUGCCAUGCCAGCAAUACAGUUUGUUACACUGUCAACGAAUCGAGUUGUUUGGGAUUGCAGCUCUAAAUGGGUGGUAAAUUUCAUCUAAAGCUAAAUAUUGGCAGGAGACCGAUAGCAAACAAGUACCGUGAGGGAAAGAUGAAAAGAACUUUGAAAAGAGAGUUAAACAGUAUGUGAAAUUGUUGAAAGGGAAAUGUUUGGAAAUGAAAUUGCCGGCGGUGCUUCAAAAGAGACUUUGUUUCUUUCCAUGGCACCGCCGGCUGGUCAACAUCAGUUGACUUGGAUUGAUGUGGCUUGCAGGUCUGGAAUUCUUUGAAUUCCACCUGCAAACUUUAACUCCAAGUCGACUGAGGCACAUAACUCACCACUUUGGUAGGUCUUUUUGGCUGAUAUUCCAAUCUAGGUUCCUAGCUGCUUGCAGCUAGUUGCCAAUGUUGGGUAUCUUCCAAUGAAGACCUUUGAGUUCUUGAUGUUGACUUAAAGUUUCCAAACAUCCCGUCUUGAAACACGGACCAAGGAGUCUAACACAUAUGCAAGUGUUUGGGUGGCAAACCCGGUCGCGAAAUGAAAGUGAAUUAAUGCCAAUCCUCGGAUGCAGCAUUAAACCGGUCUGGAUUUUUAUGAUAGAUCUGAGUAUGAGCAUAUUUGUUGGGACCCGAAAGAUGGUGAACUAUGCCUGAAUAGGGUGAAGCCAGAGGAAACUCUGGUGGAGGCUCGGAGCGAUUCUGACGUGCAAAUCGAUCGUCAAAUUUGGGUAUAGGGGCGAAAGACUAAUCGAACCAUCUAGUAGCUGGUUCCUGC
Molecule: unclassified non-coding RNA, 1539 nt
Filed under: uncultured fungus
Lineage: Eukaryota; Fungi
Description: sequence contains 18S rRNA gene, ITS1, 5.8S rRNA gene, ITS2, 28S rRNA gene
Rfam family: Eukaryotic large subunit ribosomal RNA (bases 510-1539)
Source: RNAcentral